GUGGGGAAUCUUCCGCAAUGGACGAAAGUCUGACGGAGCAACGCCGCGUGAGUGAUGAAGGUCUUCGGAUUGUAAAGCUCUGUUAAUCGGGACGAAAGAGCCUAGUGUGAAUAAUGCUAGGAAGUGACGGUACCGGAAUAGAAAGCCACGGCUAACUACGUGCCAGCAGCCGCGGUAAUACGUAGGUGGCAAGCGUUGUCCGGAAUUAUUGGGCGUAAAGCGCGCGUAGGCGGAUCUGCCAGUUUGUCUUAAAAGUUCGGGGCUUAACCCCGUGAUGGGAUGGAAACUACAGAUCUAGAGUAUCGGAGAGGAAAGUGGAAUUCCUAGUGUAGCGGUGAAAUGCGUAGAUAUUAGGAAGAACACCAGUGGCGAAGGCGACUUUCUGGACGAAAACUGACGCUGAGGCGCGAAAGCCAGGGGAGCGAACGGGAUUAGAAACCCCUGUAGUCC
This 450-nucleotide ribosomal RNA is filed under the name uncultured bacterium. RNAcentral describes it as "partial 16S ribosomal RNA". It matches the Rfam family "Bacterial small subunit ribosomal RNA", at positions 354 to 796 of the family's 1533-position model. The record is from RNAcentral.